RNAcentral lists this long non-coding RNA (7115 nucleotides) under Mytilus galloprovincialis (Mediterranean mussel). Lineage: Eukaryota; Metazoa; Mollusca; Bivalvia; Mytilida; Mytilidae. The record is from RNAcentral.
ACGGCAGGUUGUUUCCGGCCUGUUUUUUUGUUACUUUUGUUUUGUAUCUGACUUGUACGACGUUUCAAGGAAGAAGUAUUACAUUUUGCAAGCUUAAUAUUUGAGAAACUGAAAUGGCCUCAAAUCAGUAAAUGUAAGUUAAAGAAUAAACACAUUUAUAGCUCACCUGGCCCGAAGGCCUCAAAUCAGUAAAUGUAAGUUAAAGAAUAAACACAUGUUUAGCUCACUGAAUGGAAUGAAACCAAACAUGGCAUGAAUGUUCCUUAUGAGGUGCUGACCAAGUGUUGUUACUUUGUAGCCGAUCCAUCAUCCAAGAUGGCCGCCAGCAGGGGACUUAAUUUAACAUAGGACCCUAUGGGAAAUGCAUACAAAUGACUUCUUCUAGAGAACCACUGAAUGGAAUGAAACCAAACAUGACAUGAAUGUUCCUUAUGGGUUGCUGACCAAGUGUUGUUACUUUGUAGCCGAUCCAUCAUCCAAGAUGGCCGCCAGCGGGGGACUUAGUUUAACAUAGGACCCUAUGGGAAAUGCAUACAAAUGACUUCUUCUAGAGAACCACUGAAUGGAAUGAAACCAAACAUGGCAUGAAUGUUCCUUAUGGGUUGCUGACCAAGUGUUGUUACUUUGUAGCCGAUCCAUCAUCCAAGAUGGCCGCCAGCGGGGGACUUAGUUUAACAUAGGACCCUAUGGGAAAUGCAUACAAAUGACUUCUUCUAGAGAACCACUGAAUGGAAUGAAACCAAACAUGGCAUGAAUGUUCCUUAUGAGGUGCUGACCAAGUGUUGUUACUUUGUAGCCGAUCCAUCAUCCAAGAUGGCCGCCAGCGGGGGACUUAGUUUAACAUAGGACCCUAUGGGAAAUGCAUACAAAUGACUUCUUCUAGAGAACCACUGAAUGGAAUGAAACCAAACAUGGCAUGAAUGUUCCUUAUGAGGUGCUGACCAAGUGUUGUUACUUUGUAGCCGAUCCAUCAUCCAAGAUGGCCGCCAGCGGGGACUUAGUUUAACAUAGGACCCUAUGGGAAAUGCAUACAAAUGACUUCUUCUAGAGAACCACUGAAUGGAAUGAAACCAAACAUGGCAUGAAUGUUCCUUAUGAGGUGCUGACCAAGUGUUGUUACUUUGUAGCCGAUCCAUCAUCCAAGAUGGCCGCCAGCGGGGGACUUAGUUUAACAUAGGACCCUAUGGGAAAUGCAUACAAAUGACUUCUUCUAGAGAACCACUGAAUGGAAUGAAACCAAACAUGGCAUGAAUGUUCCUUAUGAGGUGCUGACCAAGUGUUGUUACUUUGUAGCCGAUCCAUCAUCCAAGAUGGCCGCCAGCGGGGGACUUAGUUUAACAUAGGACCCUAUGGGAAAUGCAUACAAAUGACUUCUUCUAGAGAACCACUGAAUGGAAUGAAACCAAACAUGGCAUGAAUGUUCCUUAUGAGGUGCUGACCAAGUGUUGUUACUUUGUAGCCGAUCCAUCAUCCAAGAUGGCCGCCAGCGGGGGACUUAGUUUAACAUAGGACCCUAUGGGAAAUGCAUACAAAUGACUUCUUCUAGAGAACCACUGAAUGGAAUGAAACCAAACAUGGCAUGAAUGUUCCUUAUGAGGUGCUGACCAAGUGUUGUUACUUUGUAGCCGAUCCAUCAUCCAAGAUGGCCGCCAGCGGGGACUUAGUUUAACAUAGGACCCUAUGGGAAAUGCAUACAAAUGACUUCUUCUAGAGAACCACUGAAUGGAAUGAAACCAAACAUGGCAUGAAUGUUCCUUAUGAGGUUGCUGACCAAGUGUUGUUACUUUGUAGCCGAUCCAUCAUCCAAGAUGGCCGCCAGCGGGGACUUAGUUUAACAUAGGACCCUAUGGGAAAUGCAUACAAAUGACUUCUUCUAGAGAACCACUGAAUGGAAUGAAACCAAACAUGGCAUGAAUGUUCCUUAUGAGGUGCUGACCAAGUGUUGUUACUUUGUAGCCGAUCCAUCAUCCAAGAUGGCCGCCAGCGGGGACUUAGUUUAACAUAGGACCCUAUGGGAAAUGCAUACAAAUGACUUCUUCUAGAGAACCACUGAAUGGAAUGAAACCAAACAUGGCAUGAAUGUUCCUUAUGAGGUGCUGACCAAGUGUUGUUACUUUGUAGCCGAUCCAUCAUCCAAGAUGGCCGCCAGCGGGGGACUUAGUUUAACAUAGGACCCUAUGGGAAAUGCAUACAAAUGACUUCUUCUAGAGAACCACUGAAUGGAAUGAAAACCAAACAUGGCAUGAAUGUUCCUUAUGAGGUGCUGACCAAGUGUUGUUACUUUGUAGUAGCCGAUCCAUCAUCCAAGAUGGCCGCCAGCGGGGGACUUAGUUUAACAUAGGACCCUAUGGGAAAUGCAUACAAAUGACUUCUUCUAGAGAACCACUGAAUGGAAUGAAACCAAACAUGGCAUGAAUGUUCCUUAUGAGGUGCUGACCAAGUGUUGUUACUUUGUAGCCGAUCCAUCAUCCAAGAUGGCCGCCAGCGGGGACUUAGUUUAACAUAGGACCCUAUGGGAAAUGCAUACAAAUGACUUCUUCUAGAGAACCACUGAAUGGAAUGAAACCAAACAUGGCAUGAAUGUUCCUUAUGAGGUGCUGACCAAGUGUUGUUACUUUGUAGCCGAUCCAUCAUCCAAGAUGGCCGCCAGCGGGGGACUUAGUUUAACAUAGGACCCUAUGGGAAAUGCAUACAAAUGACUUCUUCUAGAGAACCACUGAAUGGAAUGAAAUCAAACAUGGCAUGAAUGUUCCUUAUGAGGUGCUGACCAAGUGUUGUUACUUUGUAGCCGAUCCAUCAUCCAAGAUGGCCGCCAGCGGGGGACUUAGUUUAACAUAGGACCCUAUGGGAAAUGCAUACAAAUGACUUCUUCUAGAGAACCACUGAAUGGAAUGAAACCAAACAUGGCAUGAAUGUUCCUUAUGAGGUGCUGACCAAGUGUUGUUACUUUGUAGCCGAUCCAUCAUCCAAGAUGGCCGCCAGCGGGGACUUAGUUUAACAUAGGACCCUAUGGGAUAUGCAUACAAAUGACUUCUUCUAGAGAACCAGUGAAUGGAAUGAAACCAAACAUGGCUUGAAUGUUCCUUAUGAGGUGAUGACCAAGUGUUGUUACUUUGUAGCAGAAAAAAAAAUCAGGAAUCUAAUAAUUUGAUAAAAACAAAAGAAACCAUUUCAAGUAUAAGAUUUAUGUUAUCAAGUUUGAGACUUUUUUAAAAUGCAACUUCUUUGAAAUGUAAUAUAUUUAAGAAAUAUUUUAGUGGUAAGUAAGCUAACGUUAAAUUUUAUGGGUGAAACGGAAAGCGGGAGGGGGCCUUAAUUAAUUGAUUCGAAAUAAACAGGCUCUGAUCUUCACUUUGAUUAAAAAAUGCAGGAUGUGCCAUUUCAUUUCCCCAUUCCCCCUUUAAACAUUUCGUGAAAAUCGCACGUUUGCUGUCAAAUACAUGAAUUUAAUAUUCAGUGGGGUGAGGGGUGCCGGGGGUUGGAAUCUCUUUUUUUGGACGAUCAAUGCAUGUGAAUGUGGACAAAUAGUGGAAACCCCCUUUUUCCUGGGUUGGGAACCCCUUUCUUAAAAUGACUGGAUCCGCCCCUGAUAGAUUUGAAUUCAACUUAUAAUUAAAUUCAAUAACAAUAUAAAUGUAUCAAAAGAAUGAAUUUUCUACUUCAUUAUUGAGUGAAAUGUUAUAUAAAAAAGGAUUUUGUUCUGUUAUUGUAUAUAUUAAGACAAAUACUUAAAAAAAAUAAAAUCAUGCUCGGUCUCUGCAAGUGUUGAUCACGAUUAAUUAAACACGUGUUACUAUAUGACCAAUCGCAGCCAACCGUCCAAAAUUGAGGCCUGACAUAAGUUGGAUGAUUUUCUUCAAGAGUUGCUGCUUAUUUGGACAUGUAUUACACGAACACUUUUUAUUUAUAGGAUCAAUCGUGCAUCGAUAAGUUGAUAGGAAUUUUAUCUUUUGAUGAGAUUUGUUUCUUAUUUACAUAUUUUCUGUCUUUUUUAAUUGAAAUAUAAACGUCGGUAUCAUCAUUUCUUCACUUUCAGCAUUAUCUCAAAUUACUAUUCAUAUCCAUGCUCCAUAAAAAAGGGGGGGUAUGUAUUUUUCUAAUUAUAUUAACUAUUUACCUUUACAACACCAUCACCCAAUAUAUAUAUUUUCGUAUUUUAUAUUAAAGUCGUACAAUACUAAAUUGAAUACAACUUUUUUCCCUAUAACUAGUACGUAUACCCUCUCAACCACGACAAAACGAAAUACACUAAAUUCAUAGUAAUAUAGUCAUAGAGAACACAGCAUCGUCAAGAAACUCAAAAAAGAACAAUAUAAGGAAUUAAUGUAAAUUGUUACGAAUUAUUAAUUGUUAAUUAUUAGCAAUUGGUCGUUUUCUGUUCUUUAUGGUAAAUUUGCAGAUGUAUGGCUUUCAUUAUCAAAUUUAAUAUGGAAUCACAUUGAUUGAUUGAUUGAUUGAUUGAUUGGUGUUUGCUUAACCUCUAAAUGUUAAUAUUUCGUUAAGACGAGAACGGAUUAGCAAAAACUGAAACUCCAUGGUACAAAUAUAGUUUGUAUGUUUGGAUAAUGUCAACUUCCUGCCAGCUUAGAACGUAUUGUGAUAUUUCUGUUAUAAAAAGCAAGCUUGAGCCUAGUGUUUCGCAAUUGCUUAUUGUUAUGUUUUCAGGACCUAUUGCCAGUACCAUCAUCAACCGAUAUAGUUGUAGAGUGGCUAUGAUACUAGGGUCACUCAUGUUAUCCACAGGACUUGUCUUAACAGGCUUUGUAGAGGAUAUCAAAUGGACAUUUUUUACAUUUGGAAUUCUUGCAGGUAAAAUUAGAAAAUCGAAUUCCAAGGUAGAUUCAAUAGAAUGAGUCAAUAACACCUGACAAAAUAAAAUGCUAAAAUAUAUUAAUUGGCUCUUAAAGGUACUAGGUGUAUAAUCUAAUACGUCAGAUGUACUUUUCGUCUAUAUAAGACUCAUCAGUGACGCUAAGAUCAAAAUAGUUACGUAGCCAAACAAGUACCAAGGUGAAGAGCAUUGAUGACCCAAAAAUCCAAAAAAAUGUGCCAAGUACGACUAAGGUUAACUUACAAAACGAAUGGAUAACAAACAUUCGCAAGUACCAUGGAAACUUAUCACAAAUAAAAAGAAAUAUGCGUUUUACACCCGGAAACUAUCGUCGUGUUUCUUAGUCAUGUUAGCUACUAUCAUUCAUUUUUAUUUUUUGGUAUGAAUACGAUAACUCUUUUAAUUCUGAAAAAUUGGAACCUGUAUUCAAAAGCAACAUCAAACACUAUAAAGACAGAAAAUAAACCGCACUAAAGUUAUAUGCUUUUAUUAUUAUAUUGCAGAGUACAGGUUAAUAUUGGGACGUGAAAGUGGUGUGACACAUCAGAAUUCAGGGGUCUUUUAAAUCUUGGCACCUUAAUACAGAGAAUGUUAGUUUAGAUAAAAAAAUCGUAACGAAACGAAAAAACAGAAUCUCAAUAUUUUUAAAAAGCAGUAUGAAAUCUUUCAAAAUAUAUGAAUAUGAAACGUAUUCAAGCACAUUUGAAGGUAUCACUAACUGCGACCGAACUCAACAGAAAUCUUUAAUAGCAUACUGAUUAAGAACAGAUGUGCAGCAUCUGCAUACGAAAACUCAUAUAUUCGUCUGUAAGAAAUACUAGUAUUUGAGAGUUAAAAACUUAUUUCAUUUUUCAUUUAAGCAUCAUUUAGAAGUUCUAUAGAAACAAGAAGGCGCCUAGUUGUCAAAAUGGUCUUUAUUGCCAAUCUACUGUAUACUUAUUCUGUUGACACUGAAGUUAUUAAUUCGAACCCCGCAAGUUCUACUCUAAUUUUAAUUGACAAUAAUGGUCAGAUUUUCGGUCGUUCCAAGAUUUGUGAUUCUUUUCAUGCACUCCCAUUUCCUCAAGCAAUUAAACCUUACCGCAACAUUUUAUCAAAUAGUACUGAACAUGACAUUAAACAUCUGAAUAUUUUUUUUUCAGGAAUAGGAUUUGGGUUAUGCUAUAACACUGGAUUGAUAGUGAUAGCGUUUAAUUUUGAAAAGAAACGUAACAUGGCGUCUGGCAUAGCUAUAUCAGGUGGUGGAAUUGGACCUUUUAUUUUAACUCCUGUUUUCCAAUUAAUAUAUGAGGAAUAUAAUUAUUCCGGAUAUUUUCUAUUACUAGGAGGCCUUGCAUUACAAAACUGUGUGUUCGGUGCCAUAUUUCGACCAUCUAAAACAGAACUUGCAAUGAAAACUGCCAAUUCAAAUCGUACGGAAAGUUUCAGUGAUUCGGUGUCGUCUUAUAUGGAGAUUGUUCGGAGUGGCUCAAUGCUGUGUGUAUGUUUAGGAUUCUUCCUGGCCAAUAUUAGUAUCUAUCUACUCUACAUACAUUAUCCUGAAUAUUGUCUCCAUACAAAAUCAACGAAAAUGGACGUGUCUAUAUUUUUAUCAAUAGCCGGUAUAUCUGGUUGUGUAACAAGGGUAUUAUUUGGUAUGGCUAAUAACAGUCAUAACAUAAACGAGUUACUAAUGCUUUUUGGAGUGUUUAGUUUGUUAGGGUUUGGUACCAUAAUCUUCCCUUUAUUUAGUUCAUAUACAACGGCCAAAGUGAUGUUUGCCUGCCUACUUGGCGGAUAUUCUGGUUGUUGCUGGGCAGUUGUGAAUUCUAUAGUUAUAAAUAUUUUAGGACAUGAGAGACUCGCACAUGGUGUUGGUUAUCUCAUGAUAUAUUGUGGAGUUGGAACAUUCAUAGGACCACCUCUGGCAGGUGAGUUUUAUCUUUUAUAUUUUUUUCAUACAUAAUUUUACACUAGAUUAAGCAUGCUAAGACUAAUAAGUUUCUGAAUUUAAUAAAUUUGCAAAGUUAAAUAAUCUUUCGUUCUUUUUUGGCAGACAUCAAUGGUGUUUAAUUAAAAUUAUUUGAUCGGGUGUAAAAGAGGGACGUAAGAUACCAGAGGGACAGUCAAACUCAUAAAUCGAAAAUAAAACUGACAACGCCAUGGCUAAAAUGACAAAAGGACAAAAGACAAACAAUAGUACACAUGACACAACAUAGAAAACUAAAGAAUAAACAACACGAACCCCACCAAAAACUAGGUAGAUAUAAUUACAUCAUGUAUAUUUUUGUUUACAAUAUGACUU